GAAUUUUUAUAUGGCUAUUAUUUCUUAAUAAUUUGAUUAGUUUCUUGUUGUUUAGGAUUUCUGUUAGGAGUAUUCUGCGAGGGGUUGCUUUCUGGUAGUGUUGGCCCAUCAAUGUCAUCAAUUAUUCCUGCCUUGAAGCCCGACUCUUCCACAAAGAGUCGCAACAUUCAACCCGAAGAAGUAGAAUGUGAAUCCAAGAAGACUGCAGCUGGUGCUAAAUCCAAUUUAACCUGUGUCCCCAAGAAGUACACAGAUCAAAUGGGAAAAUAUGGCGCUAACACGGGUUUUGAUUCACCAAAGGGACCUGCAGGAAAUGACAACAUUUCUGAAAAUAUGAUGUCUAAUCCUCCCUUUGAUCCUAGAAAGAUGGAUGCUCUAUCCAAGCAUGUUGCCAAUGUUUCAAGUGGUAAUCACCACCACCGCCAACCCACACCAGCACCACCAAACGCCAAGACCAACCAUGGCCAUACCACUAGUAAUCGUAGCGAUAGCUUAGAGAGCUCCACUGCAUCAUUUAAGCCUCAUACCGGUGGUGACGUCCGGUGGGAUGCAAUUAACAUGGUGAAUGCCAAAGAUGCAAUUGGUCUUAGUAGCUUUCGGCUUCUCAGGCGUCUUGGGUAUGGAGACAUAGGGAGUGUUUACCUUGUUGAACUUAGAGGAACUAGUGCUCACUUUGCUAUGAAAGUAAUGGAUAAGGCUUCGCUUGCUAGUAGAAAUAAGCUACUGAGAGCACAAACGGAGAGGGAGAUUCUUGGGCUUCUUGACCACCCAUUCUUGCCCACCCUUUAUUCUUAUUUUGAGACUAAUAAGUUCUAUUGCUUGGUCAUGGAGUUCUGUAGUGGAGGCAAUCUUCAUUCUCUUCGCCAGAGGCAACCCAACAAGUAUUUUACUGAGGAAGCAGCCCGGUAUAUAUAAAUCUCCACAUAUUUUAUAAUUUCAUACCACCAACUUUUGUAGUUUUGUUUCUAACGCACCUUUCUUCUCCUGCAAUUAGUUGGAUACUGCAUACCAUUUCUGCAUUGUUGUAUACCAGGGUUAGGGGAAUUUUUUCAGACUAUACAUGAUUUUGAAUCCUUAAUUACUGUUCUUUUAAUUUAUGCAAUCAUAAUUUUUCUUUUAUUGUCACAGUAUA
RNAcentral lists this unclassified non-coding RNA (1132 nucleotides) under Hevea brasiliensis (rubber tree). The record is from RNAcentral. Lineage: Eukaryota; Viridiplantae; Streptophyta; Magnoliopsida; Malpighiales; Euphorbiaceae.